UCUGUUGGUAGUUUUAAAAAGUCUUACCUGCCCACUGAUAUAAAAAAUAAAAAAUUUAAGGGCCGCAGUAUUAUGACUGUGCAAAGGUAGCAUAAUCAUUAGGUUUUUAAAUGAGAUCUUGUAUGAAUGGUUGGACAAAGGAAAGGCUGUCUACAUAUUUAGUAUUUGAAUUUUACUUUUAAGUGAAAAGGCUUAAAUAUUCCAGAGGGACGAUAAGACCCUAUAAAGCUUUACAUUAUAAUUAUAUUUGGUUAAAUUUAGAAAAUAAAAAGUUGAUAUAGUUGUUUGUUAUACUGGGGAGGUAGAAGUAGAAGUUUAAUUAUCUACUAUAGUUAAACAUUGAUUUAUGUUGUAAAUUGUAGAUCCUAAAUAUAGAUUAAAAGUUUAAGUUACUUUAGGGAUAACAGUAUAAUUUUUUUUAAGAGUUCAUAUCGAAAAAAGAGUUUGUAACCUCGAUGUUGAAUUAAAAAAUCUAUAUGGUGUAGUUGUCAUAUAAGAAAGUCUGUUCGACUUUUAAUUU
This 520-nucleotide ribosomal RNA is filed under the name Terrathelphusa kuhli. RNAcentral describes it as "partial 16S ribosomal RNA". It matches the Rfam family "Bacterial large subunit ribosomal RNA", at positions 1830 to 2594 of the family's 2925-position model. The record is from RNAcentral. Lineage: Eukaryota; Metazoa; Arthropoda; Malacostraca; Decapoda; Parathelphusidae.